Molecule: ribosomal RNA, 118 nt
Organism: Catonella morbi ATCC 51271
Lineage: Bacteria; Bacillati; Bacillota; Clostridia; Lachnospirales; Lachnospiraceae
Source: Rfam
UCUGGUGGCGAUGCGCCCGGGGGUAACACCCGUUCUCAUCCCGAACACGAAGGUUAAGGCCCGGGCGGCCGAUGGUACUGCACUGGAGACGGUGUGGGAGAGUAGGUGGCUGCCAGAC